RNAcentral lists this ribosomal RNA (497 nucleotides) under uncultured bacterium. RNAcentral describes it as "partial 16S ribosomal RNA". It matches the Rfam family "Bacterial small subunit ribosomal RNA", at positions 28 to 507 of the family's 1533-position model. The record is from RNAcentral.
GAUGAACGCUGGCGGCGUGCCUAAUACAUGCAAGUCGAGCGAACGGACGAGAAGCUUGCUUCUCUGAUGUUAGCGGCGGACGGGUGAGUAACACGUGGAUAACCUACCUAUAAGACUGGGAUAACUUCGGGAAACCGGAGCUAAUACCGGAUAAUAUUUUGAACCGCAUGGUUCAAAAGUGAAAGACGGUCUUGCUGUCACUUAUAGAUGGAUCCGCGCUGCAUCAGCUAGUUGGUAAGGUAACGGCUUACCAAGGCAACGAUGCAUAGCCGACCUGAGAGGGUGAUCGGCCACACUGGAACUGAGACACGGUCCAGACUCCUACGGGAGGCAGCAGUAGGGAAUCUUCCGCAAUGGGCGAAAGCCUGACGGAGCAACGCCGCGUGAGUGAUGAAGGUCUUCGGAUCGUAAAACUCUGUUAUUAGGGAAGAACAAAUGUGUAAGUAACUGUGCACAUCUUGACGGUACCUAAUCAGAAAGCCACGGCUAACUACGUG